AGACCGAUAGCAAACAAGUACCGUGAGGGAAGAUUGAAAAGAACUUUGAAGAGAGAGUUCAAUAGUACGUGAAACUGUGUGGUGGUAAACGGAGGGGUUCUCGAAGUCUCUGCGGGGAACUCAACCUUGGUGCCGGGCGGUCUGGGCGUGUCCGAUCAGCGAUGACGGCGCGUCCUCUCCGGCUCGGCUCUCGGGUGCAUUUCCCCCGCAGUUUACGGCAGGAACCGUUUGGCUCGGACCGAAGGCCUCGGGUGAAGUUGUCGCUUACGGUGGCAGCCCCGGGUGUCCUGGCUCCGCGCCCGACGGGUACGCGAGAGGACUCGUAUAGCGAGCAACGCUCUGUUGCGGUUCUCAUCUCUCUGCCGAGUAGGUCGGCGGCCCCUCCGACCCGUCUUGAAACACGGAC
Molecule: ribosomal RNA, 406 nt
Filed under: Euchaeta longicornis
Lineage: Eukaryota; Metazoa; Arthropoda; Copepoda; Calanoida; Euchaetidae
Description: eukaryotic LSU rRNA
Rfam family: Eukaryotic large subunit ribosomal RNA
Source: RNAcentral